UACGAAGGGGGCAAGCGUUGUUCGGAAUUACUGGGCGUAAAGCGUGCGCAGGCGGUCUGUUAAGACCGAUGUGAAAUCCCCGGGCUUAACCUGGGAACUGCAUUGGUGACUGGCAGGCUUUGAGUGUGGCAGAGGGAGGUAGAAUUCCACGUGUAGCAGUGAAAUGCGUAGAGAUGUGGAGGAAUACCGAUGGCGAAGGCAGCCUCCUGGGCCAACACUGACGCUCAUGCACGAAAGCGUGGGGAGCAAACAGG
Molecule: ribosomal RNA, 254 nt
Filed under: uncultured bacterium
Lineage: Bacteria
Description: partial 16S ribosomal RNA
Rfam family: Bacterial small subunit ribosomal RNA
Source: RNAcentral